Molecule: ribosomal RNA, 432 nt
Filed under: uncultured bacterium
Lineage: Bacteria
Description: bacterial SSU rRNA
Rfam family: Bacterial small subunit ribosomal RNA
Source: RNAcentral
GACGCUGGCGGUGUGCUUCACACAUGCAAGUCGAACGAGGUAGCAAUACCUAGUGGCGGACGGGUGAGUAACGCGUGGGAAUCUGCCUUUAGAUGGGGGAUAACGGGUCGAAAGACUCGCUAAUACCGCAUAUGACGAAAGUUGAAAGGAGUAAUCCGUCUAAAGAUGAGCCCGCGUCCGAUUAGCUAGUUGGUAGAGUAAAAGCCUACCAAGGCGACGAUCGGUAGCUGGUCUGAGAGGAUGAUCAGCCACAAUGGGACUGAGACACGGCCCAUACUCCUACGGGAGGCAGCAGUGGGAAUUUUACGCAAUGGGCGAAAGCCUGACGUAGCGACACCGCGUGAGCGAAGAAGCCCCUUGGGGUGUAAAGCUCUGUCAGCUGGAACGAAAAAAAUGACGGUACCAGCAGAGGAAGCAUCGGCUAACUACGUG